RNAcentral lists this ribosomal RNA (403 nucleotides) under uncultured Methanolinea sp. Its description in RNAcentral is "bacterial SSU rRNA". It matches the Rfam family "Archaeal small subunit ribosomal RNA", at positions 935 to 1338 of the family's 1478-position model. The record is from RNAcentral. Lineage: Archaea; Methanobacteriati; Methanobacteriota; Methanomicrobia; Methanomicrobiales; Methanoregulaceae.
UAAGACAGCUGAAUGAUAUCGGGCUAAAGACUCUACUUGACUAGCUGAGAGGAGGUGCAUGGCCGUCGUCAGUUCGUACUGUGAAGCAUCCUGUUAAGUCAGGCAACGAGCGAGACCCACGCCAACAGUUGCCAGCAUGUCCUCCGGGAUGAUGGGGACACUGUUGGGACCGCCUCUGCUAAAGAGGAGGAAGGAAUGGGCAACGGUAGGUCAGCAUGCCCCGAAUUAUCCGGGCUACACGCGGGCUACAAUGGUCAGGACAAUGGGUAUCGACACCGAGAGGUGGAGGCAAUCUCCUAAACCUGUCCUUAGUUCGGAUUGUGGGCUGCAACUCGCCCACAUGAAGCUGGAAUCCGUAGUAAUCGCGUUUCAACAGAACGCGGUGAAUAUGUCCCUGCUCCUU